GUCCCCUUCGUCUAGAGGCCUAGGACAUCACCCUUUCACGGUGAGUACAGGGGUUCGAAUCCCUAGGGGACGCCA
RNAcentral lists this transfer RNA (75 nucleotides) under Burkholderia cepacia. Its description in RNAcentral is "tRNA-Glu". It matches the Rfam family "tRNA". Rfam says of the family: Transfer RNA (tRNA) molecules are approximately 80 nucleotides in length. Their secondary structure includes four short double-helical elements and three loops (D, anti-codon, and T loops). Further hydrogen bonds mediate the characteristic L-shaped molecular structure. tRNAs have two regions of fundamental functional importance: the anti-codon, which is responsible for specific mRNA codon recognition, and the 3' end, to which the tRNAs corresponding amino acid is attached (by aminoacyl-tRNA synthetases). tRNAs cope with the degeneracy of the genetic code in two manners: having more than one tRNA (with a specific anti-codon) for a particular amino acid; and 'wobble' base-pairing, i.e. permitting non-standard base-pairing at the 3rd anti-codon position. RNAcentral also lists the same sequence under 3 other names. The record is from RNAcentral. Lineage: Bacteria; Pseudomonadati; Pseudomonadota; Betaproteobacteria; Burkholderiales; Burkholderiaceae.